GGGGAAAGUGGGGGACCGCAAGGCCUCACGCGAAUGGAGCGGCCGAUGUCAGAUUAGCUAGUUGGUGGGGUAAAGGCUCACCAAGGCGACGAUCUGUAGCGGGUCUGAGAGGAUGAUCCGCCACACUGGGACUGAGACACGGCCCAGACUCCUACGGGAGGCAGCAGUGGGGAAUUUUGGACAAUGGGCGCAAGCCUGAUCCAGCCAUGCCGCGUGCGGGACGAAGGCCUUCGGGUUGUAAACCGCUUUCAGCUGGAAAGAAAUCGCUGUUUUAAUACGGACAGUGGAUGACGGUACCGGAAGAAGAAGCACCGGCUAACUACGUG
Molecule: ribosomal RNA, 326 nt
Filed under: uncultured bacterium
Lineage: Bacteria
Description: bacterial SSU rRNA
Rfam family: Bacterial small subunit ribosomal RNA
Source: RNAcentral